Oncorhynchus tshawytscha (Chinook salmon) is the source of this 408-nucleotide long non-coding RNA. Lineage: Eukaryota; Metazoa; Chordata; Actinopteri; Salmoniformes; Salmonidae. The record is from Ensembl.
AGGGGCUGAAGGUAUGCAUGUUGAUCAGUAGGGGCUGAAGGUAUGCAUGUUGAUCAGUAGGGGCUGAAGGUAUGCAUGUUGAUCAGCAGGGGCUGAAGGUAUGCAUGUUGAUCAGCAGGGGCUGAAGGUAUGCAUGUUGAUCAGCAGGGGCUGAAGGUAUGCAUGUUGAUCAGCAGGGAAGCACCUAGAGGUUAAUUAAAUAGCUGUUCUUCUGCCUGGGCUAAAAUAGAUGGCUAAUGCCAGGAAGGUGUAGGACAGGUGUUUCUAGUAUAGUACGAUAGUAUCCUAGUGUUGAAGUAGUAUAGUAUACUAGUAGUACAGUAGUACAGUACCCUAGUACUACAGCAGUAUAUUACUACAGUACCCUGUACUACUAGGGUACUAUCAUUCUAUACUACUCCUAGGAUA